This 134-nucleotide small RNA is filed under the name Chlamydia avium 10DC88. Its description in RNAcentral is "Bacterial large signal recognition particle RNA". The stretch from base 18 to 118 matches the Rfam family "Bacterial small signal recognition particle RNA". Rfam says of the family: The signal recognition particle (SRP) is a universally conserved ribonucleoprotein involved in the co-translational targeting of proteins to membranes. Archaeal SRP consists of a 7S RNA and homologues of the eukaryotic SRP19 and SRP54 proteins. The record is from RNAcentral. Lineage: Bacteria; Pseudomonadati; Chlamydiota; Chlamydiia; Chlamydiales; Chlamydiaceae.
UUAUUAAAGAAAGGUAGGCUGGGGACCUUUUAAGAAAAGAAACCUUUGAACCGGGUCAGGACUGGAAAGUAGCAGCCCUAAAAAGUGCUCUCUUUUGCUAGAAGAAUUUCUCCAGCUUGCUUUUUCCUUAAUAA